AACACAUGCAAGUCGAGGGGCAGCAUAUCGAAGCUUGCUUGAUAGAUGGCGACCGGCGCACGGGUGAGUAACGCGUAUCCAACCUUCCCCUUAGUAGGGCAUAGCCCGUAGAAAUGCGGAUUAAUACCCUAUGUUGUAUUAUGAGGACAUCUGAAUAAUACCAAAGGUUCACCGCUAAGGGAUGGGGAUGCGUCUGAUUAGGUUGUUGGCGGGGUAACGGCCCACCAAGCCAUCGAUCAGUAGGGGUUCUGAGAGGAAGGUCCCCCACAUUGGAACUGAGACACGGUCCAAACUCCUACGGGAGGCAGCAGUGAGGAAUAUUGGUCAAUGGGCGAGAGCCUGAACCAGCCAAGUAAGCGUGCAGGAUGACGGCCCUAUGGGUUGUAAACUGCUUUUAUACAGGGAUAAAGUCGGGGACGUGUCCCCGUUUGUAGGUACUGUAUGAAUAAGGACCGGCUAAUUCCGUGCCAGCCGCCGC
Molecule: ribosomal RNA, 478 nt
Filed under: uncultured bacterium
Lineage: Bacteria
Description: bacterial SSU rRNA
Rfam family: Bacterial small subunit ribosomal RNA
Source: RNAcentral